RNAcentral lists this long non-coding RNA (316 nucleotides) under Medicago truncatula (barrel medic). Its description in RNAcentral is "long non-coding RNA (MTRU_LNC003286)". The record is from RNAcentral. Lineage: Eukaryota; Viridiplantae; Streptophyta; Magnoliopsida; Fabales; Fabaceae.
UAAUUUCGAAGGGACAUAAAAAAGGAGAUGAAGAGAAGAAACACUUGUCAACACAAGUCAAAAGGGGAGAGAGAAGAAAGGUAUUCGAAGUUUCAAAAUACUUUUAUGUGUAGCGAAUUAACUAGGCGAGCUCUCCUUUUAUAGUAAAAGUUUGUAACAAAUCUAGAGAAACUUAAGAAUUAAGUAAACUUAUAAACUAAGCAACCCACAUAUCAGCCCAAGUAACAAAGAGAUCAGAUAAGCUCAAAAGAGAAACAAACUAAUUGGAUAUGAAUGAAGGAAAUAUAGAAAACUACGUUGGAUUCUAAAUCUUAUC